RNAcentral lists this ribosomal RNA (301 nucleotides) under uncultured bacterium. RNAcentral's name for it is "partial 16S ribosomal RNA". It matches the Rfam family "Bacterial small subunit ribosomal RNA", at positions 509 to 809 of the family's 1533-position model. The record is from RNAcentral.
CAGUCGCCACGGGAACACGGAGGGUGCAAGCGUUAAUCGGAAUUACUGGGCGUAAAGCGCACGCAGGCGGUCUGACAAGUCAGAUGUGAAAUCCCCGGGCUUAACCUGGGAACUGCAUUUGAAACUGUCAGGCUGGAGUCUUGUAGAGGGGGGUGGAAUUCCAGGUGUAGCGGUGAAAUGCGUAGAGAUCUGGAGGAAUACCGGUGGCGAAGGCGGCCCCCUGGACAAAGACUGACGCUCAGGUGCGAAAGCGUGGGGAGCAAACAGGAUUAGAUACCCCAGUAGUCCCUGUCUCUUAUAA